This is a long non-coding RNA of Cicer arietinum (chickpea), 1678 nucleotides long. RefSeq lists it as uncharacterized. NCBI's taxonomy places the organism in Eukaryota, Viridiplantae, Streptophyta, Magnoliopsida, Fabales, Fabaceae. The record is from RefSeq and is a predicted model, not a curated record.
AACUAUGUGGAUGCAAUCCAUGAGUGCUACAAAAAAAAAAGCUCUAUAAUUUACUUAGAGUCAGACAAACAUUUAUUACAUGUCAAAUAGACACAGUUGGAUAUAUUUAGUUCAAAGUAGGGUUGUAAUACGUGAUCGGGUGACAUGGACAGUUGUGAUUAGGCACGUACGAGCGAGUUUGAGUGAGUAAAUUUGAAUUAGCGGUAUCCGAAUAUGACCAUCUAAUAUAUGUAAAAAAUAGGUGGACUAGUUUAAACAAGAGGAAACUCAGUUAACUUAGUAGACCCAAGUCCAACACAAAAAUCCUAAGUUUGAUCUCUCUCUUUCUCGUUCUCAUUUUUGAAACUCGAAACCUAUCUUCCUUUGAAUCUUGUCUCUUCCCCUUUCUCUAUUACAUUUUAAUUUCAAUAGAUUUUUCAUUCUUGAACUUAUACUAACAGUCAUUUUUUUUGUUUCUUCUGUUUAUUCUAAAUCGGACAACGCUUGAAAUGAAGGAUUGAAAACUGAGGAACACGAUUUGAAAGUUGAAGGUUUGUAGAUUAACAAAGCAACACCAUUUUGAAGGUUAGUUCUAUAAUUUUCUAUUUCUUGCUUUUAGGAUUUUGAUUUCCGUCUUUGUUUUAAGUUUUAACUUGUUUAUAUUUGUCUUUCUCUUUAUUUACACACUCUGAACUAGAUUAUAUGAGAGUUUCUUUGAAAACAUAGGGAAAUAUUAUCUUGAAAGAUUAGUUUUUGUGCUUUUUAUUGUGCUUUCAUGGUUUUCAAUAUUUAAUGUCAUAGUGUUGUAAAAAAUAUUUUCUGAUUAGUGAUUAGGGUUUUCUUUUAAUAUAAUGUUAUGAAAAAUUAUUUCCUAAGGUUUUAUAAGUCUUCAAUUGUUCUCUUAUGGUUGCUUCUAAUUCUAAUUAGGAUUAAGGGUUUUGUUUGCAAUUUGUAAAGUUUUUGUGUGUGUCUAAAAUAGGUCUUUUAUUUUUUAUUUUAUGAUUUAAGGUUUAGCUUCUAAGUUUAACAAGUUUGUAUAUUUUUAAAGAUCUAUAAACAGUUUUUAACAUGUUUGUUUAAGGUUGUUUCUAUUUAGGAGUUAAGGUUUUGGUUUUCUACUUUUCAAUUAAAAUUUUGUCUCUGAUUUAUGGUGUUUUUUUAAGACUUGUUUUUUAAUUUUUAUUUUAUAAUGUAUGGUUUAGAUUCUAAUAAUAACAUCUGUGAAAACUUUUAAGAUUGCUUCUAAUUAGCAUUUAUCGUUUUUUUCCGCGUAUUGUAUUGUUUUUUAUUUGAGGCAUGUCUUUUUGUUUAAUUAUGCAUACUGCAUAUUGUAUUGUAUAUUUUUAAGAACUAUCUAUGUAUUUUCAAUUUGCUUGUUUAAGGUUACUUGUAAUUAGGAUUUAGGGUUUUAGUUUUCUACUUUAAUAUUUUCAUUAAAAUUUUCUUCUAACUAUAUGGUUUUUUGUUUGAGACAUAAUACAUAAAAUUCGAAAGAAGCUAGCUAGGAAGGUGUUGGAAUUGAAAGGGGAUGAAGAAUGGAACCAGAUUCGAUGAUUAUUUUUUGUAAUUGCAUUUUGAAGUUUUUUCAAUUUUGAUUAUUACUGCUAUGUUUAUUUGUGUGAAACAUUCUUGUUAUUUAUAUUAGUUAAAACACUACUCAUAAUACUUAUAAUUAAUGAGUAUGUAUCUUUAUGCUUAA